UCCUCGGAUCAUCCUAGAAGCCCGUCUCUGAACCUGUUCCAGUUUGAAUUCAUCCUUCCUAAACAUGGAGACCAGAACCUGCACCACAGUAUUCCAGGUAAGGAUGCAAAUAGCAACCUU
Gopherus evgoodei (Goodes thornscrub tortoise) is the source of this 120-nucleotide long non-coding RNA. RefSeq lists it as uncharacterized. Lineage: Eukaryota; Metazoa; Chordata; Testudines; Testudinidae. The transcript has 3 exons. The record is from RefSeq and is a predicted model, not a curated record.